CACCAGGUAAGAGGCGGCUUUGUUAUCUCUGUUUUAUAAUUAACCUUUAUUACUUACCAAGAUAAAAUUAAAUUAUACUAACAUACUGUUUUGUCUAAGCAAAGUAUCUGAUCGCAUGGCCUGUCCUGUCUGUUUGUUGAUGCGAUCCUCUUGGAGCAGAUGCUUAUAAACAUGUAGACAUUUAAAAACGUAUUGUACCAUUUGGAUAUGUCACACGAGAAGUCUUUAAACUUUGAAUUAAUCACAGAAAACAUAAUGAAUUUAGAAUUAUGUCAGAUUUCAUAAAGUACUGCGAUUUUUUACAUUCUCUUACAUUUACUAUAAUCUACUGAUCAGUCCAACUUCUCUUAGAACUAACAGAUAAAACCAACAUUUCUUCUUUAGAUUGAUUCAUCACACCACAUGAAUAACAUUGAUACCAUUUAUUAAAAUAUAAGAUUCUGGUUUAAAAUAAACUGACCAUGGUCCUUCUACCUGCCCUGCUUAUUCUCUGGGCUGUUCCCCUUUCAAGUGGUACAGGUCAACUAAGAAAAUUCUACUUAAAAACAAAUGCAGAUAAAUGAUGCACUGAAUGCUUGUAGAUGUAACUACACUGACCUCGUCACAAACUAUGAUGACAAUGACAAUGGAUCUACAGUAUGUAUAGUGGCUGGAUUGGAGUCAACAGCUGUACAUGGUGAUCCAGUCACAUUCAACAACAUCACCAGAAAUUUUACUGAGGAAAGCUGCUGUGGUGCACUAACCACUGAUGGAACAUGCGGGUGUUUCAAAUAGUUCAAAAAUGCUUCAUGUGUUAUAAACUACUUUACUGUCUAUCUUAUAAAUAUCCAAAGAUUAUGAGUAAAACUAGUGUCUAUUCUUGCAUUCAUACAGAUUGGCAACAAUCAUUCAACUAUAGUUUAAUCCCUAAAAAUAAAACCUGGUUUGAGGCUCAGCAGCACUGCAGAAAGAAUCACACUGAUUUAGUCAGUAUCAGAAAUCAGAGGAAAAAUUAACGAGUGAAUGAAGCAGUAAAUUGGAGUAACUCUAUCUAGAUUGGCCUUCGGUAUAAUUACAGCCUUGCAUGUUUUACUGGAUGGACAUUCUGGUUACAAAAAAAUACAUAUUGUGAGACGAGAAACUAAGCAUACAGGAUGCUUUACAUUUCUCUCAAAACAACCACCGGAAUCUUGGUCCAUAAGUAAUCUGAAUACCUGUGGUGCUCUUUGAUACAGAAGAAAGCUUCAUUCAUGUCAGUUCUUAUAAAAUGUCCUGGGAGGAAGCUCUGGAUUACUGCAACAGCAACUUUUCUGGACUAUUGCGCAUCGAGUCUCAGGAUGAUCAGAUAGAAACAGAGUGAGAGCUCAAAAGAUCUAAAAAUAAUAUUUCAGAGCCUGUGUGGGUGGGGCUUAGACAGAGCCGACCUUUCUGAUUCACUAGAAGCUAGUUGGUAUUGCUGUACUUACCUGUAGUGUUUCUGUUGCUUUUUUCAUGUUUAUCUCAUUGAUUGAUUCAUUUUAUUAUUUUGUUGUAAACCUUUAUGCCUCAUACCAAGAAUUAACAUUAAAAGUUGUUCAUG
Cyprinus carpio carpio is the source of this 1558-nucleotide long non-coding RNA. NCBI's taxonomy places the organism in Eukaryota, Metazoa, Chordata, Actinopteri, Cypriniformes, Cyprinidae. The record is from Ensembl.